This is a non-coding RNA of Taeniopygia guttata (zebra finch), 2977 nucleotides long. NCBI's taxonomy places the organism in Eukaryota, Metazoa, Chordata, Aves, Passeriformes, Estrildidae. The record is from RefSeq and is a predicted model, not a curated record.
UCCAGGGGCGGCGGGGAGCGGAGAGCCGAGCUCGCUCUGAACUCCGCAGCUUGAGCUCGCCGCUACAAUGAGCCGGCCCUGCGCCUGGAUGCGCCGGUGGCGGAGCCGCAGGGAGCUGCCCUUAUUUAUUUGUUCCUACGGCACAGGCACAGACAAGGGCCCUGUUUUAUGUUCCCCUGCAGGAAGGUGAUAAAGUGCUCGGGAGCUGCUGGAAUCCAUUCUCCAAUAAAUUCAAAGGGAAAGGUCAUUUUUUUUGUGCCUUGGAAGCUUGUGAGGGCUGAGGGAUGCUGGAAGGCAUUGAAAACUGAGGCAGCACAUCGCACACUGGUGUGGAAGGAAGCCACCGGAGCAAUUUUUCUGGAACCAGCUCUGAAAAAAAUCUGCAUUGGUGUCUGGCGGGAAUAUCUGGAGCCUUGGAGCUUGGCCUGAUGCUUCUCAUUGAAAUGAGCAGGAAUUUUGUCACUUGCUUCUCUGGCCUAAGUUUGCUCCUGAGGCUGGCUAAGGAAAAGGGACCUGCAGGUUUGCUGCUGACCAGCAGGCAGUGCAUGCAGCUGGAGGCCCAGGACCGAGGAUGAAUUGGAGAGAUAUGCUAUCUGUGAGCACCAAUGCCUGUCUAGCCUUGUACACCCUGUAGGAAAAAGAAGAAUUUCUGAAAAAGACAACCCGCCAAGAGAGAGGCUGGGCAGUGCAUGCCUUGUUUCUCACUCUCUUUCCAUCAGCACCCACUGCUGAGCCCUUGUGGAAGCAGGCUGCAGAAGGAAAGACCUGUCAGAGCCAGGAUGGCUCUAGUGACAAAGCUACAGUGAUUUAAGAGCUUAUGAACAUGGGGUGCUUCAGACACUGUGCAAAUAGAAAGAAGAUCCUGCCUAGCAGCUAAUCCCUGAGACCUUUUAAUGACCAGGGCUCUUGUGGCUUUCUUCUUGUGAUUCCUGGGUCUGGGUACUCUGACAUCUGUCCACGUGGUGUAAGAUUUGAAGCCCAUACUCCAAAAGCCAGUCUGAUAGUCAAGAAACAGUGGUUUGGGCAAUUUUUCAAUCCUCCAGCAUAUUUUGGGGCAUAAUGUUGAUGAGCUGUAGUGAAACUCCCAGGCAGGUGAGGUGGCUGAGCCAGCAGAGGUGUUGCAAGGUGCUGCUGAGUGCCACUGCUGCAGCAAAUGCUGUGAGCAGCCGGUGACUCAGGUCUCUGCUGUAUUUCCUAAUGAAAGUCUGAAGGAUCUGGUGUCUUUAUUAAUCACUACAGCUCAGCUCUCCACUGUUAGUAUCUUCCCAUGGUUUUGUGUAUCUUGGCAUGGUUAGAUAACCAAACAAUUUUUUGAGUGCUCUGAUGAGAAAAAAACACUGGUAGCAGACACCCAGGAGGCAGCACCAUGGGCUGAGUUAAAACUCCAGGGCUGUUCUUUGUUACACUUGAGGUGAAAAGCUCAGGACCACUGCACCAUCACUGUAUGGUGCUCCCUAUUUCAGGAUGAGCCUGACAUGGAUGAAAAAGAAGAGCUGGAAUGGCUGAGCAAACAGGUCUGCAGCUGAGGAGAGUUUCCACCAUGCUCUGUGGGAUUUCUGUGAGUCCAGCAGCUCACAGGAUGUGUUAAUAAGUAUGCUGCAGCUUUUCUACUCAUUUAGUGCACUACACUCCACACCUCCUUGAGAGCCUAUAUGGAAUGAACUGCAUCUAGUGCAGCCAAGGGGAGCUGCAUCCUCUUGCUUGCUACAUUGCUGCUUUGGUGGUACCUUUUGUGUCUGAGAGGAUUAGAAGCACCUGAGCACCCAGAAUUUAACACUGUGACUCCACCAUAUGUGCUACUCUGUGAGCUCAGUCUUGGCGGCUCCUUCGUUGGCCUGGGAGAUUUUAGGUCAGGUAUGUUGCUCUGCCCACACCUGGUACACCUGCCUGAAGGUGUAACUUGCUGCGCUGCCUACUGCUUUUAUUUGCACAAGUUUUCAAAAGUGUCAGAGUGGCCAGACCUGAUGGAUUACCUGCCUGAAGUAGGUGGAUGAUCAGCUGAAGUGUUUUCUUGAGCAUAUAUAGAUUCCUACUUGUGUUGUGAUAUUUUAAUUGCCGAGUUCAGCCUGCAGACUGAAUUGGUGAACUCUCCUUGGUAUUCUGUGUUCUGAAGUGAAACCCCUUUGUCAGGACACUUCCCUCUUUCCUAUAUAAAAGAAAAUAGGAUUUUAUGUUUGAGUAAAUAGAACAUAAAGCGCAAUCCAGAAGGUCAAUUUAAUGUGAGAUUGCUUUAUGCUGAUUGGCAAGAAUACACUUCUGUUUGUUAUUCUUAGGUUUUGAUGAUAUUCUCUUACUGUGAGAAAUGAGCACUGCCAAGAAGAGCUGAAGACAUGGCUUAGCUAUGAAGGGGAAGUACAAAAGGCUGACAAUGCAGGAAAAAUACACUGCAAAACAUACACACAGGGGACUGAUUCUCUUAAGCUGUGUGACUGCUGGGGCGCCCAAGGACUUGUGGUUUCCUUGAAAGGCACCCACACAGAUUUCGUUUCCCUGCAGUGCACACUCAUGACCCCAUGGUAUUUCUGGCAAGUGCCCAUCAUGUGCCUGCCAGCAGCUGCAUGUGUGAAACACAACAAUCAGAUGUGCUGCUGGCUGGGGAGCCUGAAGUCAUCCUGAGGCAGAAGCCUGAAGAUAUUGAGGUGCUAUCGAUGUUCCUGGGCAGGAGGCAGAGCUGAUGCCUGAUGCUUGCCCCUCCCAGUCCCUGCAGGACUUUGGACACUCCUUUUUAUGAUGAUGAUCUUCCUAACUCCUGGUCAUGCUGGAUCAUCACUGCAUACCCAGCCACCUACAUGACUGCCAGGACAGUGAUAACCCACCUUGUCUCUUGAGGGUGGCUCAGAUUACAGCCAAAGAAAAAAUAUUGUCUGCUCCAUUGGUCUCCAGGCCCAACACUUGUAUGGGACACGUUACCUGCUAGGUACUCCCACAUGACUCAUGACCACAAAAAUAAUAAAAAACUAAUGGGUAAGCUGGCCUA